AUUGAGUAGCCUUGGUUAAAAUGCAUAUUGAAUGGAAACAUAUGUUUAAUUAGAACUUAAACAUAUGUUCACUCCACCAGAAAUCCAAGAAUGUGGUCUAUGGCAAGGAAACAUAUGUGAGGUGAAGUUUAUGAGCCUUUGGUCGAUAAUCAAUGGCCACACAACCCCCAUUUUUGUCGAAAAUAGCCAUGAACGACCAUUUUCAAUAAUACCGAAGGCUAACACCAACGGAUUUUUGACCAAGAAAUGGUCUCCACCAUAAAUCCAAGAAUGUGAUCUAUGGCAAGGAAACAUAUGUGGGGUGAGGUGUAUGAGCCUCUAGUCGAUGAUCAAUGGCCACACAAAUCCAUUUUUGUCGAAAAUAGCCAUGAACGACCAUUUUCAAUAAUACCGAAGGCUAACACCUACGGAUUUUUGACCAAGAAAUGGUCUCCACCAGAAAUCCAAGAAUGUGAUCUACGGCAAGGAAACAUAUGUGGGGUGAGGUGUAUGAGCCUCUGGUCAACGAUCAAUGGCCACACAACCCUAAUUUUUGUCGAAAAUAGCCAUGAACGACCAUUUUCAAUGACACUGAAGGCUAACACCUACGGAAUUUUUGACCAAGAAAUGGUCUCCACCAUAAAUCCAAGAAUGUGAUCUAUGGCAAGGAAACAUAUGUGUAGUGAGGUUUAUGAGCCUCUGGUCGAUGAUCAAUGGCCACACAACCCCCAUUUUUGUCGAAAAUAGCCAUGAACGACCAUUUUCAAUAAUACCGAAGGCUAACACCUACGGAUUUUUGACAAACAAAUGGUCUCCACCAGAAAUCCAAGAAUGUGGUCUAUGG
This 823-nucleotide long non-coding RNA is filed under the name Zea mays. RNAcentral's name for it is "long non-coding RNA (ZMAY_LNC002674)". Lineage: Eukaryota; Viridiplantae; Streptophyta; Magnoliopsida; Poales; Poaceae. The record is from RNAcentral.